Molecule: unclassified non-coding RNA, 715 nt
Filed under: uncultured cyanobacterium
Lineage: Bacteria; Bacillati; Cyanobacteriota
Description: partial contains 16S ribosomal RNA, 16S-23S ribosomal RNA intergenic spacer, and 23S ribosomal RNA
Rfam family: Bacterial small subunit ribosomal RNA (bases 1-112)
Source: RNAcentral
GAAGUCGUUACUCCAACCCUUGUGGAGGAGGACGCCGAAGGUGGGGCUAAUGACUGGGGUGAAGUCGUAACAAGGUAGCCGUACCGGAAGGUGCGGCUGGAUCACCUCCUAACAGGGAGACAACAAAAUGUAAAUAUUAAUUUUGUCACCUUAGGUCGAUCGGUAUCUCAGAUUCUUAUUUUUUAAGAAUUUCAGUUUCUAAGUUUUUUCUAGGUCACACCCAUCAUUUUUUCCUGGGCCAUUAGCUCAGGUGGUUAGAGCGCACCCCUGAUAAGGGUGAGGUCCCUGGUUCAAGUCCAGGAUGGCCCAUAUCUCUAUGUUGGGGGUAUAGCUCAGUUGGUAGAGCGCCUGCUUUGCAAGCAGGAUGUCAGCGGUUCGAGUCCGCUUACCUCCACUGAAUACCACCUCUUACAUAUAGUUGAAGUGGGAAAUUGUUUUGAGUCGUGUCCUAAUUUGCUCUGAGCGAAUCUAGCUUCCUAUUUUAUCCAAGAAAUAAGAUGCUGGACUCAUUGAAUUUUUUUCCAUUGUUUUCAGAGAACCUUGACAACUGCAUAGAUUAUUUUUGAAGACAAUAAGCAUCUUUAAUGAUGCAGAUUUAUUAUUUGUGCGAAUGCAUUAAAUAACAAUUCUAUUAAGCUGAUGCUUCAAUUAUUGAAGUUAUUGGUCAAGCUACAAAGGGCUCACGGAGGAUACCUAGGCACACAGAGGCGAUGAA